Long non-coding RNA from Oncorhynchus keta (chum salmon), 1180 nucleotides. RefSeq lists it as uncharacterized. NCBI's taxonomy places the organism in Eukaryota, Metazoa, Chordata, Actinopteri, Salmoniformes, Salmonidae. The record is from RefSeq and is a predicted model, not a curated record. The transcript has 3 exons.
AUUUAGAUUGUAUUGAGUAUACAGUCCACACCAUAUCUAUUUAGACAGUGAGGAAUCAGAUUUAGAUUGUAUUGAGUAUACAGUCCACACCAUAUCUAUUUAGACAGUGAGGAAUCAGAUUUAGAUUGUAUUGAGUAUACAGUCCACACCAUAUCUAUUUAGACAGUGAGGUAUCAGAUUUAGAUUGUAUUGAGUAUACAGUCCACACCAUAUCUAUUUAGACAGUGAGGAAUCAGAUUUAGAUUGUAUUGAGUAUACAGUCCACACCAUAUCUAUUUAGACAGUGAGGUAUCAGAUUUAGAUUGUAUUGAGUAUACAGUCCACAUCAUAUCUAUUUAGACAGUGAGGUAUCAGAUUUAGAUUGUAUUGAGUAUACAGUCCACACCAUAUCUAUUUAGACAGUGAGGUAUCAGAUUUAGAUUGUAUUGAGUAUACAGUCCACAUCAUAUCUAUUUAGACAGUGAGGUAUCAGAUUUAGAUUGUAUUGAGUAUACAGUCCACACCAUAUCUAUUUAGACAGUGAGGAAUCAGAUUUAGAUUGUAUUGAGUAUACAGUCCACACCAUAUCUAUUUAGACAGUGAGGAAUCAGAUUUAGAUUGUAUUGAGUAUACAGUCCACACCAUAUCUAUUUAGACAGUGAGGAAUCAGAUUUAGAUUGUAUUGAGUAUACAGUCCACACCAUAUCUAUUUAGACAGUGAGGAAUCAGAUUUAGAUUGUAUUGAGUAUACAGUCCACACCAUAUCUAUUUAGACAGUGAGGAAUCAGAUUUAGAUUGUAUUGAGUAUACAGUCCACACCAUAUCUAUUUAGACAGUGAGGUAUCAGAUUUAGAUUGUAUUGAGUAUACAGUCCACACCAUAUCUAUUUAGACAGUGAGGUUACUCAAAAAUGACACAACGUGUUCCAGUUGAACAACGUUUACUCCACCGUAUUUCCACAACAUGACACCUCCUUUGGUCGUCUUUCCUUCCAGUUCUCUGCUGCCCAUGACUGGAACAAAUUGCAAAAAUCUUUGAAGCUGGAGACUCAUAUCUCCCGCACUAGCUGUAAGCACCAGCUGUCAGAGCAGUUUACAGAUCACUGCACUUGUACACAGCCCAUCUGUAAACAGCCCAUCUAUCUACCUACCUCAUCCCCAUACUGUUAUUUAUUUAUUUAUUUUGCUCCUUUGCACCCCAA